AAACCACACAAUUACACGAAUAACCGUUUUGCUAAUAUUAUGAAGAAUUCAUGCAAAAACAUCACCUAUGGGAUCUUGAAAAUAUUAAGCUUAUUUUAAUUUAUUGUUAAAUACAAAACAAAAUAGGACAUUCAAUAUCAAUAAAACUAUUAAAUGUGGAAAUGAAAGUCAUUGUUAUCAGGAAUGGAAACACAAUCGCAUGGCAUGGAUUUUAUUAAAAGGAAAACAGAGCUUGGAGUAGGAAAUAUAUUGUCCUACAUAUUUCAAUUCAGAAACUAAAGAUCAAUAGAUAGGGAAAGAUAGAGAUUCUAUGCACACUUGAAGCCUUCAGGAACCUGUUUCCCACAUGCACUAAGAAGCAAACUAAUAGCAACAGGUGCUUGAAGUUUGACACCUCCUAGUACACUAGUCUUUAUAGCAGUGCAUAAGCACAAUGCAGCUUCAAGAUCCGCGACACCUUUAAUGAUGGUACAGCAUUCCUUGCUUGGUUUAGUCCCUACAACCUCGUGAACCAACCCUAACCAGCUGCCACAAACACCAAACUUCAGGGUAUCCGCGGGGCAUUUGGCCUGCUUCUUUGGUACGGUGGGAGGUGAUGGCGACGGCACUUUUGGAGGAGAACAUGCUGGUACCUUGUGUGAGGAAACGCAAGCGAGAAAUUUGAGAUUAAGGAGAAUUAAAAGAGCCCCUGCCUUAGAACCCAUUUAACAGUAGCUGCACGGUAUUGUCAAGAAAAUUAAGAUGGAAUGAUUAAGAAAGAAGAAAGAUCUUGUAGAUUUUAUAGCACAUAAUUAUGAAAGAACAGCGACCCCCAUGUGGUGUGGGUGCAUGGCAGUUGUGGCUAGCAUUGAGCAAUGAAAAGUGUUAAAGCUAGAUUUUUAAUGUGGAGUGCGA
This 894-nucleotide unclassified non-coding RNA is filed under the name Hevea brasiliensis (rubber tree). The record is from RNAcentral. Lineage: Eukaryota; Viridiplantae; Streptophyta; Magnoliopsida; Malpighiales; Euphorbiaceae.